Molecule: long non-coding RNA, 286 nt
Organism: Brassica rapa (field mustard)
Lineage: Eukaryota; Viridiplantae; Streptophyta; Magnoliopsida; Brassicales; Brassicaceae
Source: RefSeq, a predicted model, not a curated record
CGAUGUCGAUGAACUCGCAUCAAUCGACAGACCAUGACGAAGAUCGAUGGACGGAUUACUCCAGUCAUCGAUCGACGUUGUCCGCUAAAUCGACUGAUUGCAAUGCAGUUCGAAUUCUAACUCAUGAAGAAUUCGCAGCUAAGCAUCCUCACCCACCCUCCCCUUUCUAUGAUAAAAUCGAUCGAUCGGUUGAGCCAACCAUCGAUCGACAAAGUGACUCCCACGUCGAUCGUCACACCCCACCUCCCAUCAAUCGACAUGCACCUCUGACAUCCCGAGUGAGGUU